GUUUGCUAAAAUCACGUGACUUUGGCCAGUUUGAAACAAGCUCCGAACAAAUGAUUCGAAACAAAAGAUUCAUUAAUGUUUCAAAGCCUCAAGAAGCAGUGCUUGGAAUUCGCCCAUCACUAUUUGGCUCUCGUUCUUGAGUCACGAGGCGUUAAACGAUAAAACGAUUAAAAGGAAAGAGCCGGAGUGGGAUCAGCUGUUGAAGACUUUCUGUCCGUGUUUGUAUAUUCUGGUGAAAUAUAAAGUUAAUGCAAGUUUUGUUUUUCAGAGCUCAGAAAAUGUCAAGCGUUGUGAGUUAUAGUUUACUGUUGGUGAUCUGUUUCAGUAGCUACUCAUUACAAGAUCCACAUUUGAAAGGUACGAUGGUAGAGGGGCAUCUUGGGGGAAACGCCAGCAUCCAUUGUGAAACUGAAGACAACAAUCAGCAUGGGGUUUACAUGUAUAGGCAUAAACCAGGAGAACCAAAACCACAGAGAAUCUUCUUCUUUUACUAUGAUGGCACUUUAACUCUUAAUGAAGAUUCAAAUGUUGAAAUAACAAUAAGGGGUACAUUCCCCAGCUUCACCAUCACCUUCUUAAACCUGACUGUGACAGACACCGCCCUGUACUGGUGUGAAUUCAAUUAUGAAGCAAAAAUCACGUUUAGCAUGAUCACAUUUUUAUCAGUUAAGGUUGCUGAUGGAUGCAUUGUAUUAUUGGAUCCUCCUGAAACCACACAGUCUGUCACAAUUGAUAAUGAUGAUGAAGAGACCACAUCUGCUGUGACUGAUUUCGAAAGUGCUGGGCGACCCACAGAGUUGUCUGCAAAGGAGCUGUAUAAGGUCCAUCUAUUAAGGCAAAUUAAAAAAACUGAUAUGGACAUGGACCUUAUACAGCUUCAGCUAGAGGAGAAAAGGCUGGCCAUUAAAAAGGCCAAACUUGAAAUAGAAUUACUGGAGCAUCGCCUUAAGGAUAUGAAGAAAUAGAGCAUCAAAUAAAGUCAUUUUGACAAAUCAUGUCUCUAAGCAUUCUGCCAUCUCUGUGGUCUGCUAGUUUGAAUGGGUGUAUAUCUAGGUCAUUUUCAUCAGGACAGGGGGGAUGCCUUUAUCCUCUUAUUGUGGAGUACCACACAAGCAACUAUGAUGUCACAUGCCCUAUUUGGACUGACCCUGAGCCCUGAAGACACUGAAACCUCGCCUUCAGAUUGCCUAUUGUCAUCUCCACCUUGGCCCGUGUUCUGCUGUGAGACCGGUUGAAGCGUGUCUGGGCUCAGGAUCAGGGGAAGGCAAGGGUAUCCUCUGUCCCCCAGCAAGUAACCAUAGAAGUGUCCUGUAAUGUUUGAGUUGUUUUAUAAAUGUAAUAAAGAUUACAAGCAUGUGUCUAACAAAACGUACCCUGUUGGAAUUUGUUGCACAGAGAUGACUCUCUAAAUAUUCUGGCAUCAUGUACAGACCCAGGCCAUUUUGCCUCAACAUCAGUGAUGAGGUGGGUUGCGUCACAUAUUACCUGGGAAGACCAAGUAGUUUAUCAUUUGUAAUGCCAAUAUUAAGGAGCCAAAAUAUAGCUAUUACCUGCACAUUGAUGCUAUGCACAGACUUCCUUCCGGCUCAGCUGCAUGGGUUCAGCGUCGGCAGAGAGGGAAGGCGGGGUGGGUGAGGUGGUAUUGGCCACCUGAUUCAGGAGGACGCAAUGACGCAGCAAGCGGCGGUGAUGGUGAAAGAGCAUCCGAGCCUUAAGCGCAAGCUCGAUGAUGGUGUCUAGGAAGUGAGGCAGGUUGUGGGAAGCAAUCUUGUCUUGGAUAUCAUCGCUAAGUCCAUCCACAAAACUGUGCUUGGAGAGCCGACUUGUUUCAGCCGCAUGCUGCUGCCAUGGUAUUGAACUUGAUGGAAUAGUCCCUAACAGAGCGCUCCCCCUGAACGAGAUGAACGAGUUGAGCUGCUGCAGAAUCCCCCUGUGCCGAUCAAUCGAACAGCUUUAACAUCUUCUGUCGAAACUCCUCAAAGACUGACAACAGGGGGCAAGGGCAUCCCAGACCGCCGUGCCUCACUCGCCCGCUCUCCCGGUGAGAAGUGUGAUUACAAAAGCGACCUGGGUCUGCUCUGUAGCUUAACGGUGAGGUUGAAGGGCAAACACCAAGAAGCAUUGAGAGAGGAAUAAAUGAAUGAAACUGGUGGUGCAUCUUUUAGCUGCUUUUCUCCUUUGAUUUCCAGCUAAUCGGUCCGCAACACACACACCAACACGUGAGGAGGAACUGUGAGGUUGGCAACAGAUUCGCAUUCUACGAGUUGAUUGGACAGUAGCUACUCAUUACAAGAUCCACAUUUGAAAGGUACGAUGGUAAAGACACAUCUUGGGGGAAACGGCAGCAUCCAGUGUUCUACUGAAGACAACAAUCAGCAUGGGGUUUACAUGUAUAGAAUGAAACCAGAAGAAACAAAACCACAGAGAAUCUUCUACUUUUACCAUGAUGGCACUUAAACUCUUAAUGAAGAUGCAAAUGUUACCGUAAUUAGAAGUGGAGAAUUUCCCAGCUUUACCAUCACCUUCUUCAACCUGACUGUGACAGACAGCGCCCACUACUGGUGUGAAUUCAAUCAUGAAGAAAGAAUCACGUUUAGCAUGAUCACAUGGUUAUGGGUGACAGCCAAUCACGUAGAAGAGUGUCCAGGAAAUACAUUUCUCUUGUACGUGACGAUUGCCUGCACGGGAUUUAGCAUCAUAACUCUGCUGUGCAUCAUUGGCGUGAUUUUAAAGGUGAAGAGAUGUAAGGGGAAGAAAUAUGAACCAGCAAAACCCUUGGUCUAUGAAGAGAUGAGGAGAAACAAACUGUCCACAUUAAUAAACCAUACAUACCAAUCUUCAAAGCAAGUCCACUAAACAUCUGUGCUUGAUAACAUUUAAUUCAAUUCAGCUUAGCAGAUAUAAGUUCAUGUCGGUACAAGCCCCAAUAAUUCAUUCUGUAUUUAUCAUGCAUCUACAGUAUUUUUCACAUACAUUUAUUUCCACUCACAUACAGAAAUGUAUAGAUGUACAUACAUUAUGUUUUCUUUAGAAACUUAUUUUCUUCAAUACUAUAUACUAUACUAUAUACUCCAGAGAGGACCUUGGCUACAGCACAUCUUUAUUUUAACUACUUUUGGUAUUGAUUUUAAAGGUAGGGUAACACAUUUUGAAAAAUGCUAACAGUAGCCGCCUAGCAAUGAAAUCCCGAUCCCACCCUCAAGUCAAAUCCCCAUCCAAAGUCACGCCUCUUUCCAAACACAUGAACACACACAGAUCAGACGGUCACAUCUCAUGUCUCAUUCACCAGUGAGAAAACUUUGCAGUACAAAGUGAAUAACAUUUCCAAAAUAACCAAACUGGUAUACAUCAGAAUUAGUUUAAGCACACGUUCGGUUGUGUAGACGUAGUAACUAUAUCGUUAACGCUAAUCCGUAAACGAACACAAAUUUCAUAAGCAACACAAUGUUUCAUCAAAGUAGAACAUCUGAAUCCAUCUCAAUACAAACAUAUUGCGUACCUACCUUACCAAAAUAAACAGUGCAACGACCUUUUCAGACCCUUUGCCUCCUGCAGCUGUUUGCAUCUCGUGGUAAAGCACUAAAGUUACAGAUGUUCAUUUGGGUUUUUGCUCUUGCUGAUCCAGGCAGUUUUUGCUGUUGUUGUUAUAAAAGAUGUCUUUCAUUGUGUGCCUCCUGUGUAGGUUGUCAAUUCAGCAGAAAAGUUUGCUGUUCUCACUGUUUACAGACGGUGAGCGCAUGUGAACAAAGGUGACCAGAUUUUUAAAAUGAAAACCGGGGACAUUUCGUAGUUAAAUGGUCAAAAUAUCAUUAAAAUCUCAUUUGUUGUUAUCUAUGAAUAAAUAAUGGGGACAAAAUGUUUUUUGAAAGUUUUCUUUUUUUAUUGUUGUGGGUUCACUGCAAAAAAUGACUUCUUACUUAAUUGUAUUUGUCUUAUUUUCAGGACAAUUAUCUAAAAAAUCUUAAAUCAAGAUGCAUUUUCUUGAUAAGCAAAAUCCCCCAAGAAAAAUCUAGCUUUAAGACAAAAAAAUUAAUUUAAGUGAAUUUGUGCUUAAAACAUGCAAAAAAAUAUUUUUCUUGAAUUAAGUAGUGGUAGAUUUGUUUUGCUUGUUUUAAGCACAAAUUUGAUAUUUUGGUCUAAAUAGUAGACUUAUAUUCUUAGGUCAUUUUGCCCAUCAAGAAAAUGCAUCUUGACUUAAGAAUUUUUUUAUAUUUGUACUGAAAACAAGAGAAAAAUACUAAUAAGAAUGUCAUUUUUUGCAGUGUUUCUAAUUCAAUUAAUUGAACAAUUUCUGUAUCCUAAAAAUCUAUUUUUUUCCCGUUUUUUUUUUAAACAAAAGAGACAUACCCCAUCAAAAAUUAUUUGUAAGGUACUACUUCAGCUGAUUUCAUAACAUUGUAAACGUGACGAACAGAAGGAAUAGUGCAAAAUUUAAACAUAUUUAGCCUACAAAAAAAAAAAAAUGCUCCGUAACAUACUGUGAUCAGUUCACUUCAUUGGUUUAUUAUUUUAAUUUAACAUGAGUAUUCAGUACCUUAAGCCACCAUAACUUUAACUGUGUUCAUAUCUUAUGAUAACUUGAUUGAUGAUAAUGACGCUUUCUUGUGUGUCUCGUAGUAAAUUCUUCAUCGCUAAAUCAGUGGCGUGCGCAAGUAACAUGUAGCUCGCGGCCCCCUCUGCUGGUGAAAAUAAUCAUUACAUGAUUGCUCCGGUCUGGUACUACAAACGCUAUGUUGAUCGGGUUUUGUCAGUGUAUUUGCUGGUUGUUUUGGACAUGCUGUAAAACGGGGACAUUUCCGGGGACAUCUUCAGGCGGGGACAGAACCCCAAAAAACGGGACUGUCCCCGGAAAACAGGGACGUCUGGUCACCUUAAUGUUAAUGCUCCGAUGACGUAUGGUGUCUGCGUGGACUCACUGCGCGGUGGGAAUUCAAAUUACGCUUACGUAUGAGGGACAAAAAAUGAAAACGUCCGUUCGGACCGAAAUCUAUGAUUUGUUGAACAUUUUUUUGUCCUAAGCCUUUCACAGAUGACAUAAAUUUCUACAAAUACAUUUAAACAACUUAACACAGUGAUUGCUAUCAGGAUGUGAGGAGACUUUUAACCAGCAUAACUAAAAAUGUUUCAGGAUCAAAUCUGUUACCCUACCUUUAAUAUUUGUGAGAUUACACUUGUCUUUCUGUUAUGCUUUUUGUAACAGUAUGGGUAAAUAAUUUUAAUAAACUGUUU
This is a non-coding RNA of Paramisgurnus dabryanus, 5229 nucleotides long. The record is from RefSeq and is a predicted model, not a curated record. NCBI's taxonomy places the organism in Eukaryota, Metazoa, Chordata, Actinopteri, Cypriniformes, Cobitidae.